UUUUUAAAGAAAUUAGCAAAUCACCACUUCAUUUGUUGCGCAUCCUGAUAGGAACCUGCAGAUCUCAUAUAUACCAUGAUGUGCGGAGCCGUUUUAUGCUAUUACAUUU
Lotus japonicus is the source of this 109-nucleotide small nucleolar RNA. RefSeq annotates it as small nucleolar RNA snoR2/U65. The transcript has a single exon. Lineage: Eukaryota; Viridiplantae; Streptophyta; Magnoliopsida; Fabales; Fabaceae. The record is from RefSeq and is a predicted model, not a curated record.